UUCCGGUUGAUCCUGCCGGACCUGACUGCUAUCGGAUUGAUACUAAGCCAUGCAAGUCUUUGUAGUAAUACAAGGCAUACGGCUCAGUAACGCGUAGUCAACCUACCCUAUGGAUGAGGAUAAUCUCGGGAAACUGAGCAUAAUACUCAACAGAUCAUCAAUUCUGGAAUGGUUGAUGAUUCAAAUGAUUUUUCGCCAUAGGAUGGGACUGCGACCUAUCAGCUUGUUGGUGAGGUAAUGGCCCACCAAGGCAAUUACAGGUACGGGCUCUGAGAGGAGAAGCCCGGAGAUGGGUACUGAGACAAGGACCCAGGCCCUAUGGGGCGCAGCAGGCGAGAAAACUUUGCAAUGUGCGAAAGCACGACAAGGUUAAUCCGAGUGAUUUCUGCUAAAGGAAUCUUUUACCAGUUCUAAAAAUACUGGUGAAUAAGGGGUGGGCAAGUUCUGGUGUCAGCCGCCGCGGUAAAACCAGCACCUCAAGUGGUCAGGAGGAUUAUUGGGCCUAAAGCAUCCGUAGCCGGCUCUGUAAGUUUUCGGUUAAAUCUAUAUGCUCAACAUAUAGGCUGCCGAAAAUACUGCACAGCUAGGGAAUGGGAGAGGUAGACGGUACUCGGUAGGAAGGGGUAAAAUCCUUUGAUCUAUCGAUGACCACCUGUGGCGAAGGCGGUCUACCAGAACAUGUUCGACGGUGAGGGAUGAAAGCUGGGGGAGCAAACCGGAUUAGAUACCCGGGUAGUCCCAGCUGUAAACGAUGCAGACUAGAUAAUGCAUUGGCACAUAGCCAGUGCAGUGUCUCAGGGAAGCCGUUAAGUCUGCCGCCUGGGAAGUACGUACGCAAGUAUGAAACUUAAAGGAAUUGGCGGGGGAGCACCACAAGGGGUGAAGCCUGCGGUUCAAUUGGAGUCAACGCCGGG
Molecule: ribosomal RNA, 914 nt
Filed under: uncultured marine archaeon
Lineage: Archaea
Description: bacterial SSU rRNA
Rfam family: Archaeal small subunit ribosomal RNA
Source: RNAcentral